RNAcentral lists this transfer RNA (72 nucleotides) under Marmota marmota marmota (Alpine marmot). It matches the Rfam family "tRNA". From Rfam's summary of the family: Transfer RNA (tRNA) molecules are approximately 80 nucleotides in length. Their secondary structure includes four short double-helical elements and three loops (D, anti-codon, and T loops). The record is from Rfam by way of RNAcentral. Lineage: Eukaryota; Metazoa; Chordata; Mammalia; Rodentia; Sciuridae. RNAcentral also lists the same sequence under 1 other name.
AGUGUUGUGGCUCAGUGGUAGAGUGCUUGACUAGCAUGUAUGAGGCCCUGGGUUUGAUCCUCAGCACCACUU